GUGUCCUCGUUUUAUCUGAGUGAGGAUUUGAUUUGUCUCGCUCCUCUUUCCGGACGAGCUGAGAUAGAUGCUCUUUCAGGUCUUCGUUUUAGGGUUCCAAACCUGACUCUAACAAGGCCUUUAUCGAAAAGCUUCAUCGCUCGGAUUUGUGUUGUGGCUGUUAACCCCUACACUGGGGAGCAAACUGCCUAUCUGGGAGGCUUUCGAUGGGCCUAUUGGGGUAAAAUUCUAACUUCCGCUGUUGGACCAAUACCCCCCUUGUAUUCCUCCAGGUCAAAUGAAAGUGUUGAUUUUUGUUCUUCUCUAUCUGCUAUUAAUACGUAUAUCGCCCUCCUGAGAGGAAUAUUUUAUCCAUUAAAGGAGCACCUCAACAGCAGGAGCUGGUAUGGACUUUGCUUCCCUCCGUGGAUGAACCGUCUUGAUUCAUUCCUUUUCUUCCGUCAUUUAUGCACUUCUUUAGGAAAGAGCUUUGAGACUUCCUGCCCAAGGAGAUAA
This 495-nucleotide long non-coding RNA is filed under the name Vicia faba (fava bean). Lineage: Eukaryota; Viridiplantae; Streptophyta; Magnoliopsida; Fabales; Fabaceae. The record is from RNAcentral.